GAUGAACGCUGGCGGCGUGCCUAAUACAUGCAAGUCGAGCGAACGGACGAGAAGCUUGCUUUUCUGAUGUUAGCGGCGGACGGGUGAGUAACACGUGGAUAACCUACCUAUAAGACUGGGAUAACUUCGGGAAACCGGAGCUAAUACCGGAUAAUAUUUUGAACCGCAUGGUUCAAAAGUGAAAGACGGUCUUGCUGUCACUUAUAGAUGGAUCCGCGCUGCAUUAGCUAGUUGGUAAGGUAACGGCUUACCAAGGCAACGAUGCAUAGCCGACCUGAGAGGGUGAUCGGCCACACUGGAACUGAGACACGGUCCAGACUCCUACGGGAGGCAGCAGUAGGGAAUCUUCCGCAAAGGGCGAAAGCCUGACGGAGCAACGCCGCGUGAGUGAUGAAGGUCUUCGGAUCGUAAAACUCUGUUAUUAGGGAAGAACACAUGUGUAAGUAACUGUGCACAUCUUGACGGUACCUAAUCAGAAAGCCACGGCUAACUACGUG
RNAcentral lists this ribosomal RNA (497 nucleotides) under uncultured bacterium. RNAcentral describes it as "partial 16S ribosomal RNA". It matches the Rfam family "Bacterial small subunit ribosomal RNA", at positions 28 to 507 of the family's 1533-position model. The record is from RNAcentral.